UACGGGGGGGGCAAGCGUUGUUCGGAAUUACUGGGCGUAAAGGCUCGUAGGCGGCCAACUAAGUCAGACGUGAAAUCCCUCGGCUUAACCGGGAACUGCAUCUGAUACUGGAUGGCUUGAGUUCGGGAGAGGGAUGCGGAAUUCCAGGUGUAGCGGUGAAAUGCGUAGAUAUCUGGAGGAACACCGGUGGCGAAGGCGGCAUCCUGGACCGACACUGACGCUGAGGAGCGAAAGCCAGGGGAGCAAACGGG
Molecule: ribosomal RNA, 251 nt
Filed under: uncultured bacterium
Lineage: Bacteria
Description: partial 16S ribosomal RNA
Rfam family: Bacterial small subunit ribosomal RNA
Source: RNAcentral